RNAcentral lists this small RNA (811 nucleotides) under Pongo abelii (Sumatran orangutan). Its description in RNAcentral is "processed transcript". The record is from RNAcentral. Lineage: Eukaryota; Metazoa; Chordata; Mammalia; Primates; Hominidae.
CGCUGUCACCGCCAUGGCUGCACCGUGUUUGCUGCGGCAAGGACGAGCCGGGGCGCUGAAGAUGUAGUGGAACCAAAGGAGAGGGGCAAGCUCCUAGCCACCCAGACAGCAGCUGAAUUGUCUAAAAACUUAUCUUCACCCAGUUCUUACCCGCCGGCUGUGAAUAAGGGCGGGAAGGUAGCUAGUCCCAGUCCCAGUGGCAGCGUGCUGUUCACAGAUGAAGGGGUUCCAAAAUUUUUGUCAAGAAAGACUUUGGUAGAGUUUCCACAGAAAGUUCUGUCUCCAUUCAGAAAACAGGGCUCUGAUUCAGAAGCUCGUCAGAUGGGUCGGAAAGUGACGUCGCCUUCGUCUUCAUCCUCGUCCAGCUCCUCUGAUUCUGAAUCUGAUGAUGAGGCUGAUGUUUCAGAGGUCACUCCUCGAGUGGUGAGCAAAGGCAGAGGGGGGCUUCGAAAAACAGAGGCCUCUCAUUCCUUUGAAAACAGAGCCCCCCGAGUUACAGUAUCAGCAAAAGAGAAAACCUUGCUGCAGAAACCGCAUGCAGACAUCACUGAUCCAGAGAAGCCCCACCAGCCAAAGAAGAAAGGGCCCCCUGCUAAGCCAUCAGAAGGCAGGGAAGAUGCGAGACCAAAAACCACAAUGCCCAGAUCUCAAGUAGAUGAAGAGUUUUUGAAGCAAAGUUUAAAGGAAAAACAAUUGCAGAAAACAUUUAGAUUAAAUGAAAUAGAUAAAGAAAGCCAAAAGCCAUUUGAAGUUAAAGGACCCUUACCUGUCCACACAAAAUCAGGGUUGUCUGUGCCACCGAAGGGCAGCC